GACGGAGGGUGCAAGCGUUGUUCGGAAUCACUGGGCGUAAAGCGCGUGUAGGCGGCUGAAUAAGUCGGAUGUGAAAGCCCGGAGCUCAACUCCGGAAGUGCAUUCGAAACUGUUCGGCUCGAGUACGGGAGAGGGAAGUGGAAUUCCUGGUGUAGAGGUGAAAUUCGUAGAUAUCAGGAGGAACACCGGUGGCGAAGGCGGCUUCCUGGACCGAUACUGACGCUGAGACGCGAAAGCGUGGGGAGCAAACAGG
Molecule: ribosomal RNA, 253 nt
Filed under: uncultured bacterium
Lineage: Bacteria
Description: partial 16S ribosomal RNA
Rfam family: Bacterial small subunit ribosomal RNA
Source: RNAcentral